UCAUCAGAGGCCAUAAACUAUGCAUAUAUAAAAUGGUAUCUGUGAAAUUCUAGUUUGAUGUAUCAAGUACUUUCCGAGAUAAAUGGUUUUAAAAAUUGUCCAUUGACGCACUUUUAAUGCAUUUUUGAGGUUGUGUUCGAGCGCCAGUAUCUCAGGAAUGAUUGAAAAGCCUGAAAUCUUCACUUUUAUUUCUCAUCAUGGCAUUGAUUCAGAAUCUGCGAUACUGGAACAAGUCGAUCAAAUUGUGUCUGAUUAGGGGUGAGUUAAAAUUUGAAAAAAUGGAGCUGUAAUGAAAAGUCCCAUUUUUCAGAGAAGUCAGCUAGUGGCAUUUCCUGAACCAUAUGUAGCUGCAUGUCACAAGAAUGCAAAAGAAAGCAUAUAAAAUAGUUUAUGAUCCAACCCGCCUAAAGAAGGGUUAAAUAACCAUUUUUAUUCAUUUCUGAUCAUUAGUUAUUUCCACAAUACAUUUAUGAGUACUGUGGGUUGUAUUUUGAAGACCGGAACUUUAUUUUGGAUGCGACAGGAAGUGGUGCGCUAAAACAUUCAUAGCUUAACAUCGCUAAUGACGCUGCCGUGAGAGUUGAUAACGAGAGAAAAAGGUGCCUGGAAAAUGUGAAGCUCCAGUCCUGGUGUCCAACGAGGCUGACCAGUGAUCCAGUUGAUGGCGAGCCUCCCAGUGGAACUUUGAGCCUCCACCACACCAUCCAGUGGAUUCUGUGGUAGGAUUGUCUCAGUCCCACUGACUGACACCAACAAGAGUCUACUUGGAUACUUUUCCUUGACUUUGACUACUCCCUUGACUUAUUGACUUGAACUUUGAUUGGAUCCACAACGAACCGGUUCCCCAGGAAUACUUCAAAUGGACCUUAAUGUUUUUUUUCUCAGUUUAUUGGGCCGUAGGCAUUGUACUGUAAUUAUGUUGUGCACUGUUUAGUUUUCUAAAACUAAAAGUUCACAGUAGCAACAUAUACCUGUGUCCAGUGGUUAUUGCUCCUAGCUCCUACCAACCGAGAUAGCGACUUGUACAUACUCAGAAGUGGGUUACAAUGAUAUGAAAUUAUUGGUCACAAAUUGGGGAAUAAAAGCUGUUUUUAUUGAACUUUCAUAAAUGACUGCAGGUAUGACAAGUUGUAUGACAAAAACAAAGAAGCCUAAUACAAGAAAAAUAGAGUUCUGGACUUUUAAAGUGGUUGAAACUGGAUUGAUAGGCAAUUUAUUUAAAAAAAAUAAAUAUCCAAGAAAGUACUUGAUUUAAUAGCACUAAAGUUUUCCAUAUGCCAUUUUAAAUAUCCAUACUUUAUAAAUAAAAAAAAUUCAAGCAAAUUAUGUAGUUGGGCAGAAAGCUUUAUAAAAAUUAGAUUUUUUAAGAUGCAGUUACCCUAUGUAUUCUUUUUUACAUGAUAGGGACACAGUUUUGAAACAUUUCUGCAAAGAUUCUUGCUAAUCUAAUGUCUAUGUGUUAUCUCUAUUCUUUCCAGUGUUUCAGUUGUUUAGGUUUUCCUGCUUUUUUACUUGUUUCUCACUAUCAGACCAGUGUUAAAUUCAUUCCAGUGCUGUUGGUGUCUGUAAUUUAAACAAACGAUAGCUGCUAUAAAAGUGAAAAUAAACCAAGGUUGCUGGACAGAGGCCUGAUUUAACAGGCAACAUCUGCCUCCUAUGUGUUUCUCCUGACACCAUCUCUGGUGCACACAUACACCAAACAACAAAACAAAAGAUUUUGUUGUUUGGUGUGUCUUUCUGUCUUGAGCGAAUUAAGAGCAUGUGUUGUGUGUUUUGUUAAUUGUGCAGUUGGAUUUGGAGCGGUGCAGCUUGCAAAAGGCUUGUUGCAGCCUGUAUGCAGGCUGAUACCCUCAAAGAACAGCUUGCACUAACAGGAAAUACCUCUUCUCCCAGAUGCCAGUCCUUUUUUAUUAGAUCUGGGGAUAUGCCCCUGAUUUGAUGGUGACUAUUAGUUUCUCUGUUUAGCUUCUUUCCAAGAGCCAUCACCACCCUGAACUCUCACAUGUCUCACGUCCCACAUCCAGCCAACAAUAGAAUGUGAAAUGUGCAAUAUACACCACUACCUCAUUCACUUUGCUAUUUAUAUUUAUAUUCACAGUUAUUUAUAUGUAUAUUUGUAAAUAGACAGUUUUGCACUAUUUUUUAAGAUUUCUGCACUGAAAAGGAGAAGCUUUCCAAUUUUGUUAUACACUGUAUAAUGACAAUAAAGCAUAUUCUAUUCUA
Molecule: long non-coding RNA, 2223 nt
Organism: Amphiprion ocellaris (clown anemonefish)
Lineage: Eukaryota; Metazoa; Chordata; Actinopteri; Pomacentridae
Exons: 2
Source: RefSeq, a predicted model, not a curated record